RNAcentral lists this ribosomal RNA (253 nucleotides) under uncultured bacterium. Its description in RNAcentral is "partial 16S ribosomal RNA". It matches the Rfam family "Bacterial small subunit ribosomal RNA", at positions 524 to 776 of the family's 1533-position model. The record is from RNAcentral.
UACGUAGGGUGCGAGCGUUGUCCGGAAUUAUUGGGCGUAAAGAGCUCGUAGGCGGUCUGUCACGUCGGCUGUGAAAACCCGAGGCUCAACCUCGGGCCUGCAGUCGAUACGGGCAAACUAGAGUACUGCAGGGGAGACUGGAAUUCCUGGUGUAGCGGUGAAAUGCGCAGAUAUCAGGAGGAACACCGGUGGCGAAGGCGGGUCUCUGGGCCGAUACUGACGCUGAGGAGCGAAAGCGUGGGGAGCGAACAGG